AAUCAACGCUGGCGGCGUGCCUAACACAUGCAAGUCGACACGAGAAAGGGAUUUCGGUCCUGAGUAAAGUGGCGCACGGGUGAGUAACACGUGACUAAUCUACCUCCGAGUGGGGAAUAACUGAGGGAAACCUUAGCUAAUACCGCAUAACACUUACGAGUCAAAGCAGCAAUGCGCUUGGAGAGGAGGUCGCGGCAGAUUAGCUAGUUGGCGGGGUAAUGGCCCACCAAGGCGAUGAUCUGUAUCCGGCCUGAGAGGGCGCACGGGACACACUGGAACUGAAACACGGUCCAGACUCCUACGGGAGGCAGCAGUGGGGAAUUUUGCGCAAGUGGGGGAAACCCUGACGCAGCAACGCCGCGUGGAGGAUGAAGUCUCUUGGGACGUAAACUCCUUUCGA
This 400-nucleotide ribosomal RNA is filed under the name uncultured bacterium. RNAcentral's name for it is "bacterial SSU rRNA". It matches the Rfam family "Bacterial small subunit ribosomal RNA", at positions 32 to 439 of the family's 1533-position model. The record is from RNAcentral.